This 253-nucleotide ribosomal RNA is filed under the name uncultured bacterium. RNAcentral's name for it is "partial 16S ribosomal RNA". It matches the Rfam family "Bacterial small subunit ribosomal RNA", at positions 524 to 776 of the family's 1533-position model. The record is from RNAcentral.
UACGGAGGGGGCUAGCGUUGUUCGGAAUUACUGGGCGUAAAGCGCGCGUAGGCGGACCUGCAAGUCGGGGGUGAAAGCCCGAGGCUCAACCUCGGAACUGCCUUCGAUACUGUGGGGCUAGAGUCCGGAAGAGGCGAGUGGAAUUCCUGGUGUAGCGGUGGAAUGCGCAGAUAUCAGGAGGAACACCAAUAGCGAAGGCAGCUCGCUGGGACGGUACUGACGCUAAGGCGCGAAAGCGUGGGGAGCGAACAGG